Molecule: long non-coding RNA, 109 nt
Organism: Sander lucioperca (pikeperch)
Lineage: Eukaryota; Metazoa; Chordata; Actinopteri; Perciformes; Percidae
Exons: 3
Source: RefSeq, a predicted model, not a curated record
CCUUGUUGCACCAUCCAAAUUUUCUUCAUAACUUGACAUUUUCAGCGUGCAGCUCGCUAGCUCGAAGUUUUUUGUUGUUCCCCGAAGAGAACGGAGACACACACAGAGA